GACGAACGCUGGCGGCGUGCUUAACACAUGCAAGUCGAACGCAGUGGCGAACGGGUGAGUAACGCGUAAUCAACCUGCCCUUCAGAGGGGGACAACAGUUGGAAACGACUGCUAAUACCCCAUACUGAAGGUGGGGAUUGCGUCUGAUUAGCUAGUUGGGGGGGUAACGGCCCACCAAGGCGAUGAUCAGUAGGCGGUCCGGGGGGGUGGACGGCCACAAUGGGACUUGGGACACGCCCAGACUCCUAAGGGGGGGAGGCGUUGGGAAACUUCCGCAAAUGACGGAAGUCCGACGGAGGAACUCCGCGGGAGUGAUGACGGCCUUCGGGUUGUAAAGCUCUGUUAAUCGGGACGCGGUACCGGAACAGAAAGCCACGGCUAACUACGUGCCAGCAGCCGCGGUAAUAC
This 408-nucleotide ribosomal RNA is filed under the name uncultured bacterium. RNAcentral's name for it is "partial 16S ribosomal RNA". It matches the Rfam family "Bacterial small subunit ribosomal RNA", at positions 28 to 526 of the family's 1533-position model. The record is from RNAcentral.